This 253-nucleotide ribosomal RNA is filed under the name uncultured bacterium. RNAcentral describes it as "partial 16S ribosomal RNA". It matches the Rfam family "Bacterial small subunit ribosomal RNA", at positions 524 to 776 of the family's 1533-position model. The record is from RNAcentral.
UACGUAGGGUGCAAGCGUUGUCCGGAAUUCUUGGGCGUAAAGAGCUCGUAGGCGGUCUGUCGCGUCUGCUGUGAAAACUCAGGGCUUAACCCUGAGCUUGCAGUGGGUACGGGCAGACUAGAGUGCGGUAGGGGAGACCGGAAUUCCUGGUGUAGCGGUGGAAUGCGCAGAUAUCAGGAGGAACACCGAUGGCGAAGGCAGGUCUCUGGGCCACUACUGACGCUGAGAAGCGAAAGCAUGGGGAGCGAACAGG